UCUGGUUGAUCCUGCCAGUAGCAUAUGCUUGUCUCAAAGAUUAAGCCAUGCAUGUCUAAGUAUAAAUAGUAUACAGUGAAACUGCGAAUGGCUCUUUAAAACAGUUAUAGUCUAUUUGAUAGUGGAAGCCUACAUGGAUAACCGUAGUAAUUCUAGAGCUAAUACAUGCGUCCAAACCUGACUGAAUUGAAAGGUUGUAUUUAUUAGAUACGAAGCCAAUACCCUCUCGGGGGUGUUGUGGUGAGUCAUAGUAACUGAUCGAAUCUCUCACCUGAGAGAUAAAUCAUUCAAGUUUCUGCUCUAUCAGCUUUCGAUGGUAGUGUAUUGGACUACCAUGGCAGUCACGGGUAACGGAGAAUUAGGGUUCGAUUCCGGAGAGGGAGCCUGAGAAACGGCUACCACAUCUAAGGAAGGCAGCAGGCGCGUAAAUUACCCAAUCCUGACUCAGGGAGGUAGUGACAAGAAAUAACAACCCGGGGGAUUCACAUCCCUACGGGAUUGCAAUGAGAACAAUUUAAAUCACUUAACGAGGAUCAAUUGGAGGGCAAGUCUGGUGCCAGCAGCCGCGGUAAUUCCAGCUCCAAUAGUGUAUAUUAAAGUUGUUGCAGUUAAAAAGCUCGUAGUUGAACUUCUGACAGUGUGCAGUUUUGGUUUCUAUCAGGCUGCAUUGCUGUCAUCCGUCUGCAAACUCUGUUCAAUCUUCGCUGGUUGGCAGGGGGAGUAGACAUUUUACUUUGAAAAAAUUAGAGUGUUUCAAGCAGGUUAUUGCCAGAAUACUUUAGCAUGGAAUAAUGGAAUAGGACUCCUGUCCAUUUGGUUGGUUAUUGGACCAGAGUAAUGAUUAACAGGGACAGUUGGGGGCAUUAGUAUUUAAUUGUCAGAGGUGAAAUUCAUGGAUUUAUUAAAGACUAACUUAUGCGAAAGCAUUUGCCAAGGAUGUUUUCAUUAAUCAAGAACGAAAGUUAGGGGAUCAAAGACGAUCAGAUACCGUCCUAGUCUUAACUAUAAACGAUGUCGACUCGGGAUUGGAAAGGUUUCCAAUUAUCCUUUCCAGCACCGUAUGAGAAAUCAUUAAGUCUUUGGAUUCUGGGGGGAGUAUGGUCGCAAGGCUGAAACUUAAAGGAAUUGACGGAAGAGCACCACCAGGCGUGGGACCUGCGGCUUAAUUUGACCCAACACGGGAAAACUUAUUUCAGCAAAACAUGAGUGGGAUUGACAGAUUGAGAGCUCUUUCUUGAUUUUAUGGGGUGUGGUGCAUGGCCGUUCUUAGUUGGUGGAGUGAUUUGUCUGGUUAAUUCCGUUAACGAACGAGACCUUAACCUGCUAACUAGUCAGU
RNAcentral lists this ribosomal RNA (1336 nucleotides) under metagenome. Its description in RNAcentral is "SSU rRNA". It matches the Rfam family "Eukaryotic small subunit ribosomal RNA", at positions 1 to 1363 of the family's 1831-position model. The record is from RNAcentral.